Long non-coding RNA from Sebastes umbrosus (honeycomb rockfish), 330 nucleotides. RefSeq lists it as uncharacterized. The transcript is spliced from 3 exons. Lineage: Eukaryota; Metazoa; Chordata; Actinopteri; Perciformes; Sebastidae. The record is from RefSeq and is a predicted model, not a curated record.
GAAAACAGUUAUUUAUAAAUAUUUUUAAGUGCAUUUAUAUAUCCAUUAAAAAACAAUUCCCAUAUAAUAUGUAGUAAUAGUUCAAUAUAGUUGAAUACUGAUGCAACAUAUGGUCUGAUUAUUUAAUAGUACAGUGUGUAGGAUUUGGCGGCAUCCAGUGGCGUGGUUGCAGAUUGCAAAUAACUGAGUACCCCUCCGCUCACUCCACUCUUUUCAAAGACUGCGGUAAAGUGAGCCACAGAGUACAAAACCGUGGUAACGCUAUCUGCCUCGCUAAGAGGCCAUCCUUACCUUAAUAACACUACAUUAGGAGCAACGGAAGGCAGACAG